RNAcentral lists this unclassified non-coding RNA (897 nucleotides) under Hevea brasiliensis (rubber tree). Lineage: Eukaryota; Viridiplantae; Streptophyta; Magnoliopsida; Malpighiales; Euphorbiaceae. The record is from RNAcentral.
GGAAAAGUCAAGGUUGAAGAAUGGUUUAAUAAUCGUAUUUGCAAUAACUAUUGCGUGUUCAGCGGAAUUCUCCAAAGCAAUUGAAUCACCAGAGUACAGAAUAGUGCACUCAGAAUCAGAUUUUGAAAUCAGACAUUACAGAGAGUCGGUAUGGAUGGUGGCACCCGUCAACGAAAUAUCCUUCGAAAAAGCAACCAGAAAUGGUUUUCACAGGUUGUUUCAGUUCAUUCAAGGUGCAAAUUUAAACUUUUCUCGUAUCUAUAUGACAAAGCCAGUUUUGACUAGCAUUGUCCCAGGAGCUGGUCCUCUUCACUCAUCGGCAUACUUUGUUAAGUUCUACUUGCCUGAUAAGUUCCAGGCCGAUCCACCUCUUCCCCUUCCGGAGCUAAACCUUCAACCUGAUCCAUGGACCAGCCAUUGCAUUGCUGUUAGGAAGUUUUCAGGAUUUGCAAGAGACAGCAACAUUGUUAAAGAAGCUGAGAAACUGGCUCUGAGCUUGAGUAGAUCUCCAUGGGCAAACUCCACUGCUUCUACAAGUGAAUAUGCUUACUCUAUAGCGCAGUAUAAUUCUCCCUUCCGGAUUAUUGGGCGUGUCAAUGAAGUGUGGGUGGAUGUCACUGGAUCUCGAGCGAAUGGUUGCGAAUCCAAUCCAAUUGCUGCAUACUGAUUAUGAGUGUGAGCUUGAAGCUUCUUGGAUCGUUGUUUUACAUCUCCCGUUAUAGAGACCAGAGAGACAUUAAUGGUUGUUUCUUAUGUUCAUAUAUUAUCAUGUUCGUGUUCUGCAAAUUUGGGACUUCAUGGAAGUGUGAUAAAUUCUGUAAUUCCCUUGAUAAAGAACUUUGACAUUACCAUGCGUGUUGUUCCUGUACGGCAUUUAACUCCACGUUGUUGAUAAAA